GCCAAGGGACCUUACCUGCUUGGCAUGAAGGCUGCCAUCGCGACAACAUUCGAGCGCAUUCACCGAUCCAACUUGAUUGGCAUGGGCG
Molecule: non-coding RNA, 88 nt
Filed under: Pycnococcus provasolii
Lineage: Eukaryota; Viridiplantae; Chlorophyta; Pseudoscourfieldiophyceae; Pseudoscourfieldiales; Pycnococcaceae
Source: RNAcentral